This 169-nucleotide ribosomal RNA is filed under the name Careproctus cyclocephalus. RNAcentral's name for it is "partial 12S rRNA". Lineage: Eukaryota; Metazoa; Chordata; Actinopteri; Perciformes; Liparidae. The record is from RNAcentral.
CACUGCGGUUAUACGAGAGACUCAAGUUGAAAGACACCGGCGUAAAGCGUGGUUAAAUUAAAAUUUAAACUAAAGUUAAACAUCUUCAAGGCUGUUAUACGCACCCGAAGACAAGAACCUCAAUCACGAAAGUAACUUUAUAUAAACUGAACCCACGAAAGCUAUAACA